Molecule: ribosomal RNA, 463 nt
Filed under: Vreelandella stevensii
Lineage: Bacteria; Pseudomonadati; Pseudomonadota; Gammaproteobacteria; Oceanospirillales; Halomonadaceae
Description: partial 16S ribosomal RNA
Rfam family: Bacterial small subunit ribosomal RNA
Source: RNAcentral
CCACGGGCGGAGCAGUGGGGAAUAUUGGACAAUGGGCGAAAGCCUGAUCCAGCCAUGCCGCGUGUGUGAAGAAGGCCUUCGGGUUGUAAAGCACUUUCAGUGGGGAAGAAAGCCUUGGGGCUAAUACCCUCGAGGAAGGACAUCACCCACAGAAGAAGCACCGGCUAACUCCGUGCCAGCAGCCGCGGUAAUACGGAGGGUGCGAGCGUUAAUCGGAAUUACUGGGCGUAAAGCGCGCGUAGGCGGUCUGAUAAGCCGGUUGUGAAAGCCCCGGGCUCAACCUGGGAACGGCAUCCGGAACUGUCAGGCUAGAGUGCAGGAGAGGAAGGUAGAAUUCCCGGUGUAGCGGUGAAAUGCGUAGAGAUCGGGAGGAAUACCAGUGGCGAAGGCGGCCUUCUGGACUGACACUGACGCUGAGGUGCGAAAGCGUGGGUAGCAAACAGGAUUAGAUACCCGGGUAGUC